Molecule: ribosomal RNA, 492 nt
Filed under: uncultured bacterium
Lineage: Bacteria
Description: partial 16S ribosomal RNA
Rfam family: Bacterial small subunit ribosomal RNA
Source: RNAcentral
AGUGAACGCUGGCGGUAGGCCUAACACAUGCAAGUCGAACGGCAGCACAGUAAGAGCUUGCUCUUACGGGUGGCGAGUGGCGGACGGGUGAGGAAUACAUCGGAAUCUACUUUUUCGUGGGGGAUAACGUAGGGAAACUUACGCUAAUACCGCAUACGACCUACGGGUGAAAGCAGGGGAUCUUCGGACCUUGCGCGACUGAAUGAGCCGAUGUCGGAUUAGCUAGUUGGCGGGGUAAAGGCCCACCAAGGCGACGAUCCGUAGCUGGACUGAGAGGAUGAUCAGCCACACUGGAACUGAGACACGGUCCAGACUCCUACGGGAGGCAGCAGUGGGGAAUAUUCGACAAUGGGCGCAAGCCUGAUCCAGCCAUACCGCGUGGGUGAAGAAGGCCUUCGGGUUGUAAAGCCCUUUUGUUGGGAAAGAAAAGCAGCAGGUUAAUACCCCGCUGUUCUGACGGUACCCAAAGAAUAAGCACCGGCUAACUUCGUG